RNAcentral lists this ribosomal RNA (460 nucleotides) under uncultured bacterium. Its description in RNAcentral is "partial 16S ribosomal RNA". It matches the Rfam family "Bacterial small subunit ribosomal RNA", at positions 338 to 795 of the family's 1533-position model. The record is from RNAcentral.
CCUACGGGUGGCUGCAGUGAGGAAUAUUGGUCAAUGGGCGGAAGCCUGAACCAGCCAAGCAGCGUGCAGGAUGACGGCCCUACGUGUUGUAAACUGCUUUUAUACGGGAAUAAAGACCCUUACGUGUAGGGCUUUGCAUGUACCGUAUGAAUAAGGACCGGCUAAUUCCGUGCCAGCAGCCGCGGUAAUACGGAAGGUACGGGCGUUAUCCGGAUUUAUUGGGUUUAAAGGGUGCGUAGGCCGGCUGUCAAGCGUGCUGUGAAAUGUCCGGGCUCAACCCGGGCCUUGCAGCGGAAACUGGCGGGCUUGAGUCCGCGGAAAGCAGGCGGAAUUCGUGGUGUAGCGGUGAAAUGCUUAGAUAUGACGAAGAACCCCGAUUGCGAAGGCAGCUUGCUGCAGCGGAACUGACGCUGAGGCUCGAAAGCGCGGGUAUCGAACAGGAUUAGAUACCCCAGUAGUC